This 491-nucleotide ribosomal RNA is filed under the name uncultured soil bacterium. RNAcentral describes it as "bacterial SSU rRNA". It matches the Rfam family "Bacterial small subunit ribosomal RNA", at positions 26 to 506 of the family's 1533-position model. The record is from RNAcentral.
AGAUUGAACGCUGGCGGAAUGCUUUACACAUGCAAGUCGAACGGCAGCACGGGGGCAACCCUGGUGGCGAGUGGCGAACGGGUGAGUAAUACAUCGGAACGUGCCCAGUCGUGGGGGAUAACUACGCGAAAGCGUAGCUAAUACCGCAUACGAUCUACGGAUGAAAGCGGGGGAUCGCAAGACCUCGCGCGAUUGGAGCGGCCGAUGGCAGAUUAGGUAGUUGGUGGGGUAAAAGGCGUCACCAAGCCUGCGAUCUGUAGCUGGUCUGAGAGGACGACCAGCCACACUGGGACUGAGACACGGCCCAGACUCCUACGGGAGGCAGCAGUGGGGAAUUUUUGGACAAGUGGGGGCAACCCUGAUCCAGCAAUGCCGCGUGAGUGAAGAAGGCCUUCGGGUUGUAAAGCUCGUUUUGUCGAGGAAGAAACGGUGAGGCCAAUACCCGUCCGCUAAUGACGGUACCUGAAGAAUAAGACGACCGACAACUACGU